This 468-nucleotide ribosomal RNA is filed under the name uncultured bacterium. Its description in RNAcentral is "bacterial SSU rRNA". It matches the Rfam family "Bacterial small subunit ribosomal RNA", at positions 28 to 524 of the family's 1533-position model. The record is from RNAcentral.
GAUGAACGCUAGCGGCAGGCCUAAUACAUGCAAGUCGAACGGUGUAGCAAUACACAGUGGCGCACGGGUGCUUAACACGUAUGCAACCUACCUUACAUUGGGGGAUAGCCUUUCGAAAGGGAGAUUAAUACCGCAUAAGACAGUAACUAGGCAUCUAGUAGCUGUUAAAGAUUUAUCGAUGUAAGCUGGGCAUGCGUCCAAUUAGUUAGUUGGCGAGGUAAUGGCUCACCAAGACGAUGAUUGGUAGGGGAACUGAGAGGUCAAUCCCCCACACUGGCACUGAGAUACGGGCCAGACUCCUACGGGAGGCAGCAGUAGGGAAUAUUGGGCAAUGGGCGCAAGCCUGACCCAGCCAUGCCGCGUGCAGGAAGAAGGCGUUAUGCGUUGUAAAGCUCUUUUGCCAGGGAAGAUGAUGACUGUACCUGGAGAAUAAGCCCCGGCUAACUUCGUGCCAGCAGCCGCGGUAAU